UGGAAAAUGGAAGGGAAACCGAAGGGGCGCAUGCGCACAAAGAACAUUUUUUGAAUGAAGCCAAUUGAUUGGCUGAGGGAUCGAAGGGAACCAAAGGAAUAGGUAAGUUUCUUCUCUUACUUUUGUCUCUCUUUUCUUUCUCUUCCAUUUUUUUUACCUUUCUUCUUUUCUCUUUUUCCCCUCACUUACCUUUCUUAAUAAUAUUUUUUUUUCUUUUUCUUUCUUUGCCUUUUCUUGUUCAUCAUCUUCUUUAUCUUCAUCUUUUCUCUUCUUGUACCAAGAGCCGGUCUUUUGGUCUUAAGAAAAACGGGUAACAGCAACACAACAACAACCUUUUUGGAGUGAAAGAGAAAAAGAGAGAAAGAAGAAGAAGAAGAAGAUGAGGAUGAUGGUGAAGAAAAAAAGAUGCUGGUGAGUUGAAGAAAAGUAAAGAAACUUAAAAGCAAACAGGUAAGAAGAUGAAGAUUAAAUUAACAAGCCGAUGGCACCCGCUCUCUCUUUUUUCUCUUUCUUUUCUCUCUCUCUCUUUCAGUUUCUAUGUUUCUUUUAAAUUUUUACUUUUUUCUCUUGUGUUGUAAACACAAUUUCUAUUUAUCCAUGGAAAGUAAAGGUAGGUGGAUGGUUUCCAUGGCCUUAGAACAUUUUCUCGGAAUGGAGUUUGUUUUUCUUGUCUCUCCAUCUACAUCUGUCUCCAUCAAGUCACCUUAUAAGGUCAUGUCAACGGUUUUCGGAUCCACUUCAACCUCCAAAUCAAUUGAUUACAUAUGAAAAAGUGUCUAUUUAAUCUGCUUCUUGUCAUUGGCUUCAGCUAAAUCAUUUUUACACCAACAUCAUCAUCAUCUCUCUCUCUCUUUAAAAUUUCUCUUCUCCCUCCUCCCUUUUACAGCUCAUACAACAACCACAUUUUUACCUGAUCAGGUUUCCUUUUGGAUUACACAGUUCAACAACAACAGCCCAAGGAAAUUAGUGAACAUAAGCUGUGGAUGUUAAUAUGCAAAUUAGAUAUUAGUCAUUUGCCCCUUUUUUCUGCUUGCAAUUAACGUUAUCAUAAAUUUCACGGAAAACGAUCCGUAAACAGAAAAGUUUUUCCAGUAUAUUUUCUGACCUUUUCUGCCCUUUCCGUUUGACCUUAAUUAAUACAAAAUAAGUCAAAGCAAGAAAGGAGGUAAUCUAAAAUUCAAGAAAAUGAAACAGCAUAAGUGUUGAUGAUUAAUUGGUGGGCCAUAAACACUUAUAAACACCAGAAUAUAACCAAAAAGGAAAAAGUUAAUGACCACAACAAAGUGACCAAAGAGAGAGAGAGAGGAUGAGUUGCUAAUCUGAGAUUCGAUUUUUGUUUUCUCAUGAAAACAGUUUCUCUUUAACGUCCAUGAUUAAUUAUUCACAUAAGAAAUUAAACUUUGAACCUGAUUAAAUUUUAUUGUUUACAGGUCAAAGUUUAUAUUUUCAAAGUGUUUCCAGUUAAUUAGUUUCAAUUGUAUAACAAGAGAAACAACAAUUAACUUAACUAUUAGAAAACAAAAGAUCCAAUGGUUAAUCAUUUCAAGUGAAAAACGAAAUCAUUAGAAAAGUUAAUCACUCUGAUCUUUGAUUGUUGAUGUAAAAAAAUCUCCAAUUUUGUUUUGAUUAUCAUCUCAAUAAUUAGGAGUAAUUUAAUUGCUUAGUGUUGACAGAAACAGUUAUCAGUUAACAAUCAAUUUAAAUACUCAUCCCAAUCAAUGUCAAUUAUUUGGCAUCGAUUAACAUUAACUAGUUUUCACUUAAUUUGUUAAUUUGGUUAAACAUUAAAUUGUUUGACUGGUAAUCAAUCAGUUUUGAUUAUUUGUUUUGUUUCAACGCUAAUCAAGUGAAGUUAAUUAACAUUUAAAACUUGGUAAAAUUAAAUAUCUUCACUUGAAUUUUGAUUAAUCAAAAACUAAUCAAUAACAAUUUAGUUCACCUUUUCUUAAACUUUUCUAACUUUCUCAUCAAACUAAUCAACAACUUUUCCAAAACUAAAUCAACAACAAUUUAAAUGAUCAACAAAGAGGAUCUUUGUGUAUUUCCUGAUUGAUUGACAAUUAAAUUAAACAAUAACAACAAUUGAUAAUAGCAAUUGAAAUAAUCAAAUCCGUUUACCCUUGAAAACUGAUAAUGAAUAAAAAACAAUAUUAGUUGAAACCAAUCAUGUUAAACUUAAAUUGUCGUUAAUUGUUGUUGUUGUUUUCCAAUGUUAAUAAUAUUCAAUGAGAAAAAAUAAUCAUCACAAUUAAUUGUAUUGAAUAAAUUUUUCUCAUUCUUUUCUUAUUUCUUAUCCUUUAAUCUA
This is a long non-coding RNA of Panonychus citri (citrus red mite), 2305 nucleotides long. RefSeq lists it as uncharacterized. The record is from RefSeq and is a predicted model, not a curated record. The transcript has 3 exons. NCBI's taxonomy places the organism in Eukaryota, Metazoa, Arthropoda, Arachnida, Trombidiformes, Tetranychidae.